This 810-nucleotide long non-coding RNA is filed under the name Trifolium pratense (red clover). RNAcentral describes it as "long non-coding RNA (TPRA_LNC012111)". Lineage: Eukaryota; Viridiplantae; Streptophyta; Magnoliopsida; Fabales; Fabaceae. The record is from RNAcentral.
UCAAAUCUGACACACAAAAUCCCUAAAACAUCUUAACAAAAGCAGCAACAACAGGGAAACAAAAGAACAAGAACAUCAUCCGCUUUUGAAGAAAUUUUUUGGCUUCUUUACAACUUCCAAUCCUGCAAGAAUUAUCAUCUCUAAGAGCAUGGCAAACAAGAAGCAAAAAUCAUCCAAACCUAACAAAAGUUUACAAAAUCUAACACAGCUCAUCUGGAGAAAAAAUCAUCCCCAACCCAUCUCACCUUCAAACCCAACAUAGAAACAUGGUUCUGCUCUUCUCAUAACCUUCUAACCCAACCUAAUUCAAAUCCAGAAACAAGAAGAGUCUGAAAGUAACGAUGAGAGCGAAAAUGUCGUUGUGGACUUCGGUGCUGGAAGUAACGAUGCAGAUGGUGUGGUUGGGGAAGGAGAAGUCGAGGUCAAAUCUCGAGAUUCCAUAGCGAGAUGGAGUAAUCAGAAUACACAGAUAUUGUUGGGAAAGAGAAGAGCCCAAAAAUCAAUUUAUUUGAAAGCUCUACCAAUCUUCAAACCCAGAAAUUGAAAUUGAAGCUAUGGAAGGUAAAUGUUAUUCAUUGAAGACUAAUAAAUGUUUUGUAAGUGAGAUGGUCAAAAUUGAUAUGGUUUGUAAAUGAAAUUAGGAAGUAAGAUCUCUAUUUUUUUUUCCUUUUGUUUUGAUUUCUAGGUUUGGAUCCCUUUUGUGAUGAAUUUCGGUGAUAAAUUUUGGGUUUGAUUAUUGUUGUGUAUGAAUUUUCUUUUUUUUGGUGAAGUGUAUGAAUUUCUUUUAAUUUACUGUGUUUUAUUAUGUUU